This 484-nucleotide ribosomal RNA is filed under the name uncultured bacterium. RNAcentral describes it as "partial 16S ribosomal RNA". It matches the Rfam family "Bacterial small subunit ribosomal RNA", at positions 30 to 507 of the family's 1533-position model. The record is from RNAcentral.
AUUGAACGCUGGCGGCAUGCUUUACACAUGCAAGUCGAACGGCAGCACGGGCUUCGGCCUGGUGUUGAGCGGCGAACGGGUGAGUAAUAUAUCGGAAUGUACCCAGAAGUGGGGGAUAACGUAGCGAAAGUUACGCUAAUACCGCAUACGACCUAUGGAAGAAAGCAGGGGACCGCAAGGCCUUGUGCUCCUGGAGCGGCCGAUAUCUGAUUAGCUAGUUGGUGAGGUAAAGGCUCACCAAGGCGACGAUCAGUAACUGGUCUGAGAGGACGACCAGCCACACUGGAACUGAGACACGGUCCAGACUCCUACGGGAGGCAGCAGUGGGGAAUUUUGGACAAUGGGCGCAAGCCUGAUCCAGCAAUGCCGCGUGAGUGAAGAAGGCCUUCGGGUUGUAAAGCUCUUUUGUCAGGGAAGAAACGGUAGAGGCUAAUAUCCUUUGCUAAUGACGGUACCUGAAGAAUAAGCACCGGCUAACUACGUG